Molecule: ribosomal RNA, 253 nt
Filed under: uncultured bacterium
Lineage: Bacteria
Description: partial 16S ribosomal RNA
Rfam family: Bacterial small subunit ribosomal RNA
Source: RNAcentral
UACGAAGGGGGCUAGCGUUGCUCGGAAUUACUGGGCGUAAAGCGCACGUAGGUGGCGACGUAAGUCGGGUGUGAAAGCCCCGGGCUCAACCUGGGAAUUGCAUUCGAGACUGCAUUGCUGGAGUACGGAAGAGGAAGGCGGAAUUCCCGGUGUAGCGGUGAAAUGCGUAGAUAUCGGGAGGAACAUCAGUGGCGAAGGCGGCCUUCUGGUCCAGUACUGACACUCAAGUGCGAAAGCGUGGGGAGCAAACAGG